GAGGGAAAGUUGCAAAGCACUUUGAAGAGAGAGUUAAAGAGGACGUGAACCGGUAAGGUGGAAACGGAUAGAGCCAGCGGAUUGGCCUGUAUUCAGCCGCUCGACCAGGGCCGUAGUGCGCCGGCCUCGUCAAAGGGUCGGUGUGCGAUCGGCUCCGGCUGGAGCGGUGCAUUUUCAGGCGAGGUGCGCCGAGACUUGCGGGUUGGCGGUAGAAAACGUGCUGCAGAGGACCCCUUCACGGGGGAAACCUGUGCGCGGCAGAUGACUGUUCGACCUGCUCGUAGAGAGAGGGCCUGGCCCAUGCGGGUCCGUGUACGGUUGGUGUUGCCAACGAUGUUGUCCGCAUGCGGUACGCGUCGGUGGCGGCUCCGGCAGUGCCCGGAUUCCCGGGGUCCAAUCUCGGUGUGGAAGCUGGUCAUCUCUCCGACCCGUCUUGAAACACGGACCAAGGAGUUUAGCGUAUGCGCGAGCCAUUGGGUGCGAAACCCAGAGGCGCAAUGAAAGUGAAGGCGCUGUCGCAGUGCUGACACGCGAGCCCGGGGCACUCGCUGUCUUGGGCGCAGCGUGGUCCCGUUCUAGCCGCUUGCGGCGGGGCGGAGACAGAGCGUAUGCGCUGAGACCCGAAAGAUGGUGAACUAUUCCUGAGCAGGACGAAGCCAGAGGAAACUCUGGUGGAAGUCCGAAGCGGUUCUGACGUGCAAAUCGAUCGUCUGACUUGGGUAUAGGGGCGAAAGACUAAUCGAACCAUCUAGUAG
Molecule: ribosomal RNA, 755 nt
Filed under: Sphaeronema alni
Lineage: Eukaryota; Metazoa; Nematoda; Chromadorea; Rhabditida; Sphaeronematidae
Description: eukaryotic LSU rRNA
Rfam family: Eukaryotic large subunit ribosomal RNA
Source: RNAcentral